This is a small nuclear RNA of Alexandromys fortis (reed vole), 106 nucleotides long. Lineage: Eukaryota; Metazoa; Chordata; Mammalia; Rodentia; Cricetidae. The record is from RefSeq and is a predicted model, not a curated record.
GUGCUCAUUUUGGCAGCACAGACGCUCAAACUGGAACAACGCAGAGAUGAUUGGCAUGGGAGCUGCCAAGGGUGGCACACAUGUCUGUGCAGCGCUCCAUAGUUUU